AGGAUCAUUAUUGAAGUAAACCUGAUAGUUGCUGCUGGUUCUUUUGGGAGCAUGUGCACACUUGUCAUCUUUAUAUCUUCACCUGUGCACCUUUUGUAGACCUGAGUAUCUCUCUGGAUGCUUUUUUAGCACUCAGGAUUUGAGGAUUGACUUUUUUUGUCUCUUCUUCACAUUUUCAGGUCUAUGUUUCUUCAUAUACCCUAUGUAUGUUAAUAGAAUGUCAUUAAUGGGCCUUUGUGCCUAUACAAAUUACAACUUUCAGCAACGGAUCUCUUGGCUCUCGCAUCGAUGAAGAACGCAGCGAAAUGCGAUAAGUAAUGUGAAUUGCAGAAUUCAGUGAAUCAUCGAAUCUUUGAACGCACCUUGCGCUCCUUGGUAUUCCGAGGAGCAUGCCUGUUUGAGUGUCAUUAAUAUAUCAACCUUCUUUGGUUGGAUGUGGGUUUGCUGGCCUCUUGAGGUCAGCUUUCCUCAAAUGCAUUAGCGGACAACAUUUUGCCAACCGUUCAUUGGUGUGAUAAUUAUCUACGCUAUUGACGUGAAGCAAGGUUCAGCUUCUAAAUGUCCAUUGACUUGGACAAAUUAAUUUUAUUAAUGUGACCUCAAAU
RNAcentral lists this ribosomal RNA (605 nucleotides) under Calonarius aureofulvus. RNAcentral's name for it is "eukaryotic LSU rRNA". The stretch from base 254 to 407 matches the Rfam family "5.8S ribosomal RNA". Lineage: Eukaryota; Fungi; Basidiomycota; Agaricomycetes; Agaricales; Cortinariaceae. The record is from RNAcentral.